UAAGGAAUAUUGGACAAUGGAGGCAACUCUGAUCCAGCCAUGCCGCGUGAAGGAAUAAGGCCCUAUGGGUUGUAAACUUCUUUUAGACGGGACAAAACCCCUUUACGUGUAAAGGGUUGAUGGUACUGUCAGAAUAAGCAUCGGCUAACUUCGCGCCAGCAGCCGCGGUAAUACGAAGGAUGCAAGCGUUAUCCGGAAUUAUUGGGUUUAAAGGGUGCGUAGGCGGACUAAUAAGUCAGUGGUGAAAGCCUGCAGCUUAACUGCAGAAUUGCCAUUGAUACUGUUAGUCUUGAGUACAGUUGAGGUAGGCGGAAUGUGUCAUGUAGCGGUGAAAUGCUUAGAUAUGACACAGAACACCGAUUGCGAAGGCAGCUUGCUAGGCUGUAACUGACGCUGAGGCACGAAAGCGUGGGGAGCAAACA
Molecule: ribosomal RNA, 422 nt
Filed under: uncultured bacterium
Lineage: Bacteria
Description: bacterial SSU rRNA
Rfam family: Bacterial small subunit ribosomal RNA
Source: RNAcentral